ACAAAUGCAGUCGAACGGUGGCAGGAGUAAGCUUGCUGCUUCGCUGACGAGUGGCGGACGGGUGAGUAAUGUCUGGGAAACUGCCUGAUGGAGGGGGAUAACUACUGGAAACGGUGGCUAAUACCGCAUAACGUCGCAAGACCAAAGAGGGGGACCUUCGGGCCUCUUGCCAUCAGAUGUGCCCAGAUGGGAUUAGCUUGUUGGUGAGGUAACGGCUCACCAAGGCGACGAUCCCUAGCUGGUCUGAGAGGAUGACCAGCCACACUGGAACUGAGACACGGUCCAGACUCCUACCGGAGGCAGCAGUGGGGAAUAUUGCACAAUGGGCGCAAGCCUGAUGCAGCCAUGCCGCGUGUAUUAACAAGGCCUUCGGGUUGUAAAGUACUUUCAGCGGGGAGGAAGGUGUUGUGGUUAAUAACCACCUGUAUUGACAGUUACCCG
Molecule: ribosomal RNA, 441 nt
Filed under: Salmonella enterica subsp. enterica
Lineage: Bacteria; Pseudomonadati; Pseudomonadota; Gammaproteobacteria; Enterobacterales; Enterobacteriaceae
Description: bacterial SSU rRNA
Rfam family: Bacterial small subunit ribosomal RNA
Source: RNAcentral